Long non-coding RNA from Papaver somniferum (opium poppy), 1356 nucleotides. RefSeq lists it as uncharacterized. The record is from RefSeq and is a predicted model, not a curated record. Lineage: Eukaryota; Viridiplantae; Streptophyta; Magnoliopsida; Ranunculales; Papaveraceae. The transcript has 2 exons.
UUAGCCGUUGGAUUUAGGUCUCUCCUAUAUAAACCAGUUCAUACAAACUUUGAAUUCAAACGAAUUUUUGUUUUGAACGGUGGAAUAAGGGUUUUUAGGGCUUGGAUUUUGAUCAACUGUAGCCAUGUCGUUAACAAGGGUGGUAAUCCCGCUAUGGAAAAAUUUGAUGGUUCUGACAAUGGAAAUGUAGAAACACAUCUGAUACUUUUCUUAAUGUGGCCAAUGGCCAUCGUGAUAUUGUUCCAAAUGAGUUGAUGUGACCUUGCUACUAGACUUGAAUUGUCAACUAUAAAUCGUAUAGAUAUAAUUUGCAUUAUCACAGUAUGGGCACUCACCGAUUGGAAGAAACAAGGAUUUAAUUCAUAAUUUGUUCACAGAUUGAAAGAAACAAGGAUUUAUUUUCUUGUCCUCCUCCACGAUAAAGUGAAGGAGGACAAGAUGAUGGUGACGAAGACUUGUCUAAUAGCUCUCUAACUGAUUACCACCCAGAGGAGUAUGAGGAGCUUACUGCCAUUGAAUCUAAAGACAGUGAGGCAUCUUUUGGUGGUUAUAACAAUAGCUCCAUCCCACUAAUGCAGGAGGGUUAUAAAGAUAAUGGGGCCGAGGAUAAGGACAGGGGUCGCCGCUGUGAAGGUAUUCACUCCCGUAAAGCUGAUUGCAAGCCUGAAUUGCUAUCUGAAAGUGAGUCAUUCUAUUGUGAGUAUAGCGUCAUCCCAGAUGAAGAGUAUAGCAACAUCCCAAACACGGAGGAUUGGAUUGGUUCUUUGGUCUUUAAAAAAUGGCAAGGAGCGGAAGGGGUAUGACUAUCUAAACAUUUAUGGUUUUUACAAUAAGAAAAGUAGAAUGGGUGGUUACGGUGUUAUUUGUGGGAUCCUUGUGGAAAGCCAGUAAUUGCAUCUGCUUCUGUUCAACCAGGAGGAGUUUCUGAUUACUAUCAUGUGUUGUAUGGGGUGGAUGCUGGCCUUGCACUUGCAUUGAAACAUGGAAUAUAUGAUCUUUCAUUGGACUGAUGUGCAACUCCUCAAUUCAUUGUUACCUUCGUCAGAUUUUUCAGCGAGCUGAUGGUUGUUUUCCUCAACAAGGGUUUUGUGGUUAUCUUUUUGCUCCUCAAGAGGAUUAUAGAUAAGAGCUCUCAGAUAAUGUGCAAAUCUCGUACUUUUGCUGUUAACACUGUUAGGUCAAGCUCAAAUGAAGCUGCGAUUCUUCUGGCAAGACAGCUUGCAAAGAAGUCUAGGCUAUCAGGUAAACCCAAGACUGAAACCAUUAAACCAGAUGAAUGUGAGGAUGAUCUUAAAAUGAUUUUUUAUGGAGAUGCUUAUAAAGGUUCACGGUUUUACCAAGAACAGCAGCAUUGGG